GAUGAAGAACGUAGCGAAAUGCGAUAAGUAGUGUGAAUUGCAGAAUUCAGUGAAUCAUCGAAUCUUUGAACGCACAUUGCGCCCUUUGGUAUUCCUUAGGGCAUGCCUGUUCGAGCGUCAUCUAAACCCUCAAGCGCUGCUUGGUGUUGGGUGCCUGUCCCGCCCCCGCGCGUGGACUCACCUCAAAUCCAUUGGCGGCCCUCACGUCGGCUUCGAGCGCAGCAGAAACGCGAACUCGUGGCCCGGCGGAGCGGCUCCCAGAAGCUACUUUCACCCUUUUUACCUCGGAUCAGGUAGGCAUACCCGCUCAACCUAGGCAUAUCAAUAAGCGGAGGA
RNAcentral lists this unclassified non-coding RNA (336 nucleotides) under soil metagenome. RNAcentral describes it as "partial contains 5.8S ribosomal RNA, internal transcribed spacer 2, and large subunit ribosomal RNA". The stretch from base 1 to 120 matches the Rfam family "5.8S ribosomal RNA", at positions 35 to 154 of the family's 154-position model. The record is from RNAcentral.